This 76-nucleotide transfer RNA is filed under the name Ruminococcaceae bacterium D16. RNAcentral describes it as "tRNA-Lys". It matches the Rfam family "tRNA". From Rfam's summary of the family: Transfer RNA (tRNA) molecules are approximately 80 nucleotides in length. Their secondary structure includes four short double-helical elements and three loops (D, anti-codon, and T loops). Further hydrogen bonds mediate the characteristic L-shaped molecular structure. tRNAs have two regions of fundamental functional importance: the anti-codon, which is responsible for specific mRNA codon recognition, and the 3' end, to which the tRNAs corresponding amino acid is attached (by aminoacyl-tRNA synthetases). tRNAs cope with the degeneracy of the genetic code in two manners: having more than one tRNA (with a specific anti-codon) for a particular amino acid; and 'wobble' base-pairing, i.e. permitting non-standard base-pairing at the 3rd anti-codon position. Lineage: Bacteria; Bacillati; Bacillota; Clostridia; Eubacteriales; Oscillospiraceae. The record is from RNAcentral. RNAcentral also lists the same sequence under 19 other names.
GACCCAGUAGCUCAGUCGGCAGAGCACCUGCCUUUUAAGCAGGGUGUCCGGAGUUCGAAUCUCCGCUGGGUCACCA